GGGCGGUGUGCUGAAAGCUGGAGCUCUGGUUAUGGUUCAGGAACACAGAGUUCCCCGGACAGGUUUGAAGAUCUGUAUUUUGACCAAGAGAGAACAUUUUCGUGAUUGCACGCAAAGUUAGGAAAGGUGCUAAAGGUGGCUCCGGGAGGAAUACAGCAUUAUUCUAUUUAAAGUAGUUCUUACUAUAACCACUCCCAUUUUAGUCAGUGGGGUGAUAUUUUUCCCAGUGUCACAGACUGAAAUCCGUCACUCUUUGUUACCGUUCAUCAGGCAUUUCAUGUGAGUCAGCCAGCCACCAUUAGGGGUUUAAUAGAAAUCAUCUCACUGGAUCCUUGAAUAACCCUGACGUGUUCCCCAUCUACAUCACCGUCCCUCCAUCAACUUUAUCAUCAUGUUUUAUCUUUUAUAAAAUGCUUUUUCGUUUACUGUUCUUUGCCAUCCCCAGUCCCAUCAUCGAAAUCCAAGGGCUUAAUGCCUGAGAGAAACGGAAAGCAUCUUCAGCAUCAUCGCCUCCAAUCUCAUUUCCACCUAAAAUGAGACCUAGAGAGAAAAUUAUUUUCCCAAGUUCACCCAUGUACCAAGUACAUAGGCUUUGAGUUCAAAUCCUUUAGUGCAUAAUCUUUGACAAAUCUCACCUUUUAGUGCAUUGGUUUUCUCAUUCUGUAAAAUUGGGUUAUUAUGAUAGCUAGUCUCCAAAGGUGCUUCCUAAUGAGCCACCCCACCCUACAAUGAAUCUGAGCUGGCUUAUAUAACCAACAAGCAGUGCUGUCACAAGAAGUCUUGAAGCUUUCACCUGGGUUGCCUGGAAUGCACUAUUAGGAUCCCUAGGCCACCCUGUUAGCAAGUCUGACUACUCUAAGAUCAUCGUGUCACAAGAAAGCCCAAGCUAACAUUACUGCCACGAGAGUGCAGGGAGGGGGGAGGGGGCGAGUGAGAGAGACAGGGAGAGCAGAUGCGCGCCGGACAAUCUCUAGCUAUGCCAGCCAUCCUAACCCAGAACCAGACUUGACAGUGAAGAGGCCAUCUUAGUCAUCCUGACAGUGGAGCUUUUAGAAGACUCCAGCCCCAGCUGCCAUCUGACUAAAACUACACAAGGGACUCAAAGCACUGUCCUGUAUAACGAGGACACAGCAGUGAACAAAGCAAGGCUUUCCACCUGAAGCUUACAGUCAACAACUGAGUCAGCACAUAUAUACAACGUCAUGUGGUGUAAUCUACACUCAGUGUAGGACUCAAACUCAUGACUCUGAGAUGAAGAGCAUGAAGACAACCAGGUGCCCUAAUUUAUCCUUAAAUCUUUGUGCUGCUUUUACAUUGUCCUGAAAUAAAGAACCACUGAUCCUA
Molecule: long non-coding RNA, 1344 nt
Organism: Canis lupus familiaris (dog)
Lineage: Eukaryota; Metazoa; Chordata; Mammalia; Carnivora; Canidae
Exons: 3
Source: RefSeq, a predicted model, not a curated record